RNAcentral lists this ribosomal RNA (292 nucleotides) under uncultured bacterium. RNAcentral describes it as "partial 16S ribosomal RNA". It matches the Rfam family "Bacterial small subunit ribosomal RNA", at positions 505 to 796 of the family's 1533-position model. The record is from RNAcentral.
GUGUCAGCAGCCGCGGUAAUACAGAGGUGCCAAGCGUUGUUCGGAUUUAUUGGGCGUAAAGGGUGCGUAGGCGGUUAUGUAAGUCGGGUGUGAAAUUUCGGAGCCUAACUCCGAAACUGCAUUCGAAACUGCAUAGCUCGAGGUCUGGAGAGGUAAUUGGAAUUCUAGGUGUAGCAGUGAAAUGCGUAGAUAUCUAGAGGAACACCAGAGGCGAAAGCGAAUUACUGGACAGAACCUGACGCUGAGGCACGAAAGCUAGGGGAGCAAACGGGAUUAGAAACCCCAGUAGUCC